ACUGAACAGAGGGGGCCGGUGAGAAAGGAAGCUGUAAGCACGACUGGCUGCGUGGAGCGCGGGCCCACCUGAGCCCUGCAGGUUUUGGUUUCUUGGCCACGAGGCAAGUGGGAUCCUAGCUCCUGGACCAGGGAUCGAACCCGCACCCCCUGCAUUGGAAGGUGAAGUCUCAACCCCUGGACCACCAGGGAAGAUCAUGUGCCAGACAAGGAAAUGAAAG
Molecule: long non-coding RNA, 220 nt
Organism: Hippopotamus amphibius kiboko
Lineage: Eukaryota; Metazoa; Chordata; Mammalia; Artiodactyla; Hippopotamidae
Exons: 3
Source: RefSeq, a predicted model, not a curated record